This 841-nucleotide ribosomal RNA is filed under the name Olleya sp. Hel_I_37. RNAcentral's name for it is "bacterial SSU rRNA". It matches the Rfam family "Bacterial small subunit ribosomal RNA", at positions 62 to 905 of the family's 1533-position model. The record is from RNAcentral. Lineage: Bacteria; Pseudomonadati; Bacteroidota; Flavobacteriia; Flavobacteriales; Flavobacteriaceae.
UCGAGGGGUAGCAGGGAGCUUGCUCCGCUGACGACCGGCGAACGGGUGCGUAACGCGUAUAGAAUCUACCUCUUACUAAGGGAUAGCCCAGAGAAAUUUGGAUUAAUAUCUUAUAGUAUGUUAACUUGGCAUCAAGAUAACAUUAAAGGUUACGGUAAGAGAUGACUAUGCGUCCUAUUAGCUAGAUGGUGUGGUAACGGCACACCAUGGCAACGAUAGGUAGGGGCCCUGAGAGGGGGAUCCCCCACACUGGUACUGAGACACGGACCAGACUCCUACGGGAGGCAGCAGUGAGGAAUAUUGGACAAUGGAGGCAACUCUGAUCCAGCCAUGCCGCGUGCAGGAAGACUGCCCUAUGGGUUGUAAACUGCUUUUAUACAGGAAGAAACACUCUCACGUGUGAGAGCUUGACGGUACUGUAAGAAUAAGGAUCGGCUAACUCCGUGCCAGCAGCCGCGGUAAUACGGAGGAUCCAAGCGUUAUCCGGAAUCAUUGGGUUUAAAGGGUCCGUAGGUGGAUAAUUAAGUCAGAGGUGAAAUCCUGCAGCUCAACUGUAGAAUUGCCUUUGAUACUGGUUGUCUUGAGUUAUUAUGAAGUAGUUAGAAUAUGUAGUGUAGCGGUGAAAUGCAUAGAUAUUACAUAGAAUACCAAUUGCGAAGGCAGAUUACUAAUAAUAUACUGACACUGAUGGACGAAAGCGUGGGGAGCGAACAGGAUUAGAUACCCUGGUAGUCCACGCCGUAAACGAUGGUCACUAGCUGUUCGAACUUCGGUUUGAGUGGCUAAGCGAAAGUGAUAAGUGACCCACCUGGGGAGUACGUUCGCAAGAAUGAAACUCAAG